RNAcentral lists this ribosomal RNA (429 nucleotides) under Pseudomonadota bacterium. Its description in RNAcentral is "Proteobacteria bacterium partial 16S ribosomal RNA". It matches the Rfam family "Bacterial small subunit ribosomal RNA", at positions 355 to 776 of the family's 1533-position model. Lineage: Bacteria; Pseudomonadati; Pseudomonadota. The record is from RNAcentral.
UGGGGAAUAUUGGACAAUGGGCGAAAGCCUGAUCCAGCCAUGCCGCGUGUGUGAAGAAGGUCUUCGGAUUGUAAAGCACUUUAAGUUGGGAGGAAGGGCAGUAAGCGAAUACCUUGCUGUUUUGACGUUACCGACAGAAUAAGCACCGGCUAACGCUGUGCCAGCAGCCGCGGUAAUACAGAGGGUGCAAGCGUUAAUCGGAAUUACUGGGCGUAAAGCGCGCGUAGGUGGUUCGUUAAGUUGAAUGUGAAAGCCCCGGGCUCAACCUGGGAACUGCAUCCAAAACUGGCGAGCUAGAGUGUGGGAGAGGAUGGUAGAAUUCCAGGUGUAGCGGUGAAAUGCGUAGAGAUCUGGAGGAAUACCGAUGGCGAAGGCAGCCAUCUGGCCUAACACUGACGCUGAGGUGCGAAAGCAUGGGGAGCAAACAGG